RNAcentral lists this transfer RNA (76 nucleotides) under Coriobacteriia bacterium. RNAcentral's name for it is "tRNA-Lys". It matches the Rfam family "tRNA". Rfam says of the family: Transfer RNA (tRNA) molecules are approximately 80 nucleotides in length. Their secondary structure includes four short double-helical elements and three loops (D, anti-codon, and T loops). Lineage: Bacteria; Bacillati; Actinomycetota; Coriobacteriia. The record is from RNAcentral.
GCGCCAUUAACUCAGCUGGUAGAGUCGUGGACUUUUAAUCCAUUUGUCGUAGGUUCGAGUCCUACAUGGCGCACCA